GAUUCGUCACACUAUCAUUAACUGAAUCCAUAGGUUAAUGAGGCGAACCGGGGGAACUGAAACAUCUAAGUACCCCGAGGAAAAGAAAUCAACCGAGAUUCCCCCAGUAGCGGCGAGCGAACGGGGAGGAGCCCAGAGCCUGAAUCAGCAUGUGUGUUAGUGGAAGCGUCUGGAAAGGCGCGCGAUACAGGGUGACAGCCCCGUACACAAAAGCGCAUGUGCUGUGAGCUCGAUGAGUAGGGCGGGACACGUGGUAUCCUGUCUGAAUAUGGGGGGACCAUCCUCCAAGGCUAAAUACUCCUGACUGACCGAUAGUGAACCAGUACCGUGAGGGAAAGGCGAAAAGAACCCCGGCGAGGGGAGUGAAAAAGAACCUGAAACCGUGUACGUACAAGCAGUGGGAGCACCCUUCGGGGUGUGACUGCGUACCUUUUGUAUAAUGGGUCAGCGACUUAUAUUCUGUAGCAAGGUUAACCGUAUAGGGGAGCCGGAGGGAAACCGAGUCUUAAUUGGGCGUUAAGUUGCAGGGUAUAGACCCGAAACCCGGUGAUCUAGCCAUGGGCAGGUUGAAGGUUGGGUAACACUAACUGGAGGACCGAACCGACUAAUGUUGAAAAAUUAGCGGAUGACCUGUGGCUGGGGGUGAAAGGCCAAUCAAACCGGGAGAUAGCUGGUUCUCCCCGAAAGCUAUUUAGGUAGCGCCUCGUGAAUUCAUCUCCGGGGGUAGAGCACUGUUUCGGCUAGGGGGCCAUCCCGGCUUACCAACCCGAUGCAAACUGCGAAUACCGGAGAAUGUUAUCACGGGAGACACACGGCGGGUGCUAACGUCCGUCGUGAAGAGGGAAACAACCCAGACCGCCAGCUAAGGUCCCAAAGUCAUGGUUAAGUGGGAAACGAUGUGGGAAGGCCCAGACAGCCAGGAUGUUGGCUUAGAAGCAGCCAUCAUUUAAAGAAAGCGUAAUAGCUCACUGGUCGAGUCGGCCUGCGCGGAAGAUGUAACGGGGCUAAACCAUGCACCGAAGCUGCGGCAGCGAACGUAUCACCCAAGACAACUUUACGGAGUUGACGAUUGACGGAGCGAAGCGACGUCAAAGCGUUCAUUAAAGUCGAGUUGGCUUAGGGAUACGUUCGUUGGGUAGGGGAGCGUUCUGUAAGCCUGUGAAGGUGUGUCGUGAGGCAUGCUGGAGGUAUCAGAAGUGCGAAUGCUGACAUAAGUAACGAUAAAGCGGGUGAAAAGCCCGCUCGCCGGAAGACCAAGGGUUCCUGUCCAACGUUAAUCGGGGCAGGGUGAGUCGACCCCUAAGGCGAGGCCGAAAGGCGUAGUCGAUGGGAAACGGGUUAAUAUUCCCGUACUUGGUGUUACUGCGAAGGGGGGACGGAGAAGGCUAUGUUGGCCGGGCGACGGUUGUCCCGGUUUAAGCGUGUAGGUGUGUGUUCCAGGUAAAUCCGGUUCACUUUAACACUGAG
This 1467-nucleotide ribosomal RNA is filed under the name Salmonella enterica subsp. enterica serovar Typhimurium. RNAcentral's name for it is "partial 23S ribosomal RNA". It matches the Rfam family "Bacterial large subunit ribosomal RNA", at positions 137 to 1560 of the family's 2925-position model. Lineage: Bacteria; Pseudomonadati; Pseudomonadota; Gammaproteobacteria; Enterobacterales; Enterobacteriaceae. The record is from RNAcentral.